GACGAACGCUGGCGGCGUGCCUAAUACAUGCAAGUAGAACGCUGAAGAGAGGAGCUUGCUCUUCUUGGAUGAGUUGCGAACGGGUGAGUAACGCGUAGGUAACCUGCCUUGUAGCGGGGGAUAACUAUUGGAAACGAUAGCUAAUACCGCAUAACAAUGGAUGACCCAUGUCAUUUAUUUGAAAGGGGCAAAUGCUCCACUACAAGAUGGACCUGCGUUGUAUUAGCUAGUAGGUGAGGUAACGGCUCACCUAGGCGACGAUACAUAGCCGACCUGAGAGGGUGAUCGGCCACACUGGGACUGAGACACGGCCCAGACUCCUACGGGAGGCAGCAGUAGGGAAUCUUCGGCAAUGGGGGCAACCCUGACCGAGCAACGCCGCGUGAGUGAAGAAGGUUUUCGGAUCGUAAAGCUCUGUUGUAAGUCAAGAACGAGUGUGAGAGUGGAAAGUUCACACUGUGACGGUAGCUUACCAGAAAGGGACGGCUAACUACGUGCCAGCAGCCGCGGUAAUACGUAGGUCCCGAGCGUUGUCCGGAUUUAUUGGGCGUAAAGCGAGCGCAGGCGGUUUGAUAAGUCUGAAGUUAAAGGCUGUGGCUCAACCAUAGUUCGCUUUGGAAACUGUCAAACUUGAGUGCAGAGGGGGAGAGUGGAAUUCCAUGUGUAGCGGUGAAAUGCGUAGAUAUAUGGAGGAACACCGGUGGCGAAAGCGGCUCUCUGGUCUGUAACUGACGCUGAGGCUCGAAAGCGUGGGGAGCGAACAGGAUUAGAUACCCUGGUAGUCCACGCCGUAAACGAUGAGUGCUAGGUGUUGGAUCCUUUCCGGGAUUCAGUGCCGCAGCUAACGCAUUAAGCACUCCGCCUGGGGAGUACGACCGCAAGGUUGAAACUCAAAGGAAUUGACGGGGGCCCGCACAAGCGGUGGAGCAUGUGGUUUAAUUCGAAGCAACGCGAAGAACCUUACCAGGUCUUGACAUCCCGAUGCUAUUUCUAGAGAUAGAAAGUUACUUCGGUACAUCGGUGACAGGUGGUGCAUGGUUGUCGUCAGCUCGUGUCGUGAGAUGUUGGGUUAAGUCCCGCAACGAGCGCAACCCCUAUUGUUAGUUGCCAUCAUUCAGUUGGGCACUCUAGCGAGACUGCCGGUAAUAAACCGGAGGAAGGUGGGGAUGACGUCAAAUCAUCAUGCCCCUUAUGACCUGGGCUACACACGUGCUACAAUGGUUGGUACAACGAGUUGCGAGUCGGUGACGGCAAGCUAAUCUCUUAAAGCCAAUCUCAGUUCGGAUUGUAGGCUGCAACUCGCCUACAUGAAGUCGGAAUCGCUAGUAAUCGCGGAUCAGCACGCCGCGGUGAAUACGUUCCCGGGCCU
Molecule: ribosomal RNA, 1369 nt
Filed under: uncultured bacterium
Lineage: Bacteria
Description: bacterial SSU rRNA
Rfam family: Bacterial small subunit ribosomal RNA
Source: RNAcentral